AGUCCGUGGUAUAGACACUUCCUUAGUAACUCCUUAAAACGCUCCCAUGAUUCACACAGAGCUUCCCACUCCAACUGUUGAAAUGAUGUGAUAUCAUUCUUGAGUUU
This is a non-coding RNA of Morus notabilis, 107 nucleotides long. The record is from Rfam. NCBI's taxonomy places the organism in Eukaryota, Viridiplantae, Streptophyta, Magnoliopsida, Rosales, Moraceae.